GAUGAACGCUGGCGGCGUGCCUCAAACAUGCAAGUCGAGCGGGGCUAUGUAAUAUCGCAAGGUAGAACAUAGCCUAGCGGCGAACGGGUGAGUAACACGUGGGUAACCUGCCUGGAAGACAGGGAUAACGAUUCGAAAGGGUCGCUAAUACCUGAUAAUAUCCUUUCAUCGCAUGGUGAUAGGAAGAAAGGGGAAACCCGCUUUCAGAUGGGCCCGCGUCCCAUCAGCUAGUUGGUAAGGUAAAGGCUUACCAAGGCGACGACGGGUAGCCGGUCUGAGAGGAUGUACGGCCACACUGGGACUGAGAUACGGCCCAGACUCCUACGGGAGGCAGCAGUUGGGAAUCUUAGGCAAUGGACGAAAGUCUGACCUAGCGACGCCGCGUGAGGGAAGAAGGCCUUCGGGUUGUAAACCUCUGUCAUGGGGGAAGAAGUAAGUGACGGUACCCCAAGAGGAAGCCCCGGCUAACUAUGUG
This 475-nucleotide ribosomal RNA is filed under the name uncultured bacterium. Its description in RNAcentral is "bacterial SSU rRNA". It matches the Rfam family "Bacterial small subunit ribosomal RNA", at positions 28 to 507 of the family's 1533-position model. The record is from RNAcentral.